UGGGGAAUAUUGGACAAUGGGCGAAAGCCUGAUCCAGCCAUGCCGCGUGUGUGAAGAAGGUCUUCGGAUUGUAAAGCACUUUAAGUUGGGAGGAAGGGCAGUAAGCGAAUACCUUGCUGUUUUGACGUUACCGACAGAAUAAGCACCGGCUAACUCUGUGCCAGCAGCCGCGGUAAUACAGAGGGUGCAAGCGUUAAUCGGAAUUACUGGGCGUAAAGCGCGCGUAGGUGGUUCGUUAAGUUGAAUGUGAAAGCCCCGGGCUCAACCUGGGAACUGCAUCAAAAACUGGCGAGCUAGAGUAGGGCAGAGGGUGGUGGAAUUUCCUGUGUAGCGGUGAAAUGCGUAGAUAUAGGAAGGAACACCAGUGGCGAAGGCGACCACCUGGGCUCAUACUGACACUGAGGUGCGAAAGCGUGGGGAGCAAACAGG
RNAcentral lists this ribosomal RNA (429 nucleotides) under Pseudomonadota bacterium. RNAcentral describes it as "Proteobacteria bacterium partial 16S ribosomal RNA". It matches the Rfam family "Bacterial small subunit ribosomal RNA", at positions 355 to 776 of the family's 1533-position model. The record is from RNAcentral. Lineage: Bacteria; Pseudomonadati; Pseudomonadota.